UCUAUGUUUUGGACUGCUUUGUGUUAGCUUUUUAUCUUAUAUCUAUACACCCGUGCCCAACAACAUUGAAGAAACCUGGAAAGUAAUGGCCUUGGAUGCGAUUGCUAAAACUUGUAACCUUGUGGCCACAUUCUGUGAUAACAUAGGUCUCAUGAAAUAUGAAGAUGUACUAGUAAUUUUAGCAUCAGUUCACUUUACAAAAGCAGUUUCAGAUGAAAACAUUACAGUUAUUGACACAGACUUCAGCCACAUUCCUGUUCGUCUGUACUUGCCAAAGAGGAAGCCUGAAAGACAGAGACCAGCUGUGAUUUUUAUUCAUGGUGGUGCCUUUGUCUUGGGAAGCUACAGUAAAUGAGUAUAUGUUGCUAAUUAAGAGAAUAAUUGACAUUCAACAAUAAAUUCUGUUAAAAUUUCAGGAAAGUAUUUUCUUUUUCUACCUCCUUUAAGUGUAUAAACUAUUUAGCUACAGUUAAUUUUGUAAGAAAUAAUAAGUGCAAGAGCACAUUCUUAUUCUAGUAAAAAUUAAAAUUGUCAAUUAUAUACAGAAUGGCAGCCUAAAGUUUAAUUGUAAAUUUAUUAAAUUGCCUGAACUUAUAUAAAUAUGUAAGCCUCUGGCCAAAAAAAACAAAAACAAAAAACAAAAAACAAAAAAAAAAAAACAAAAACAAAAAACAAUUCAUUAGUUCUAACUGUACUAAAUAAUACACCCUGUCUUACAUUUAAGUUUAUAUUGUUUCAUUGAGAACUUCCUUCAAUAAAUAAAAAUUAUAGUGAAUCUCUAAAUUUGUCAAAAUUAUAAUGGAGCCUACAAUGUUUUCUUCAACACAAUUGCAUAUUUUCUAAUAGGUCUCCCAAGAGUUUUAUGGAGUAUAUUGGUAAUGAGUUGCAGACAAUCUUCUUCAUGAGCUCAGAGAGAAUGUUGCCUGUGACAAUAAGUGAUUACUGAGUUCCAAUCAAUGGAUCAAUCAGUCAUCAGUCAAUUAGUCAGUCAACUCACCAAACACAUUUCACACUUCUAGCAUAUUCAUGACUGUUUCUGUGUUUCCAUUGUUUGCUAUUUACAGUGAACCACUUUUUAUUUAUUCCUUUCAUUUCAGAGAUAUCAGCCUAUGAUGAUCUGAACAGAUGGACAGCAAACAAGCUUGAUGCUGUUGUUGUGGGAAUAGACUACAGGCUUGCUCCUCAGUAUCCAUUCCCAGCUGCCCUUGAAGACUGUGUUCAUGUGAUCAAGUUCUUUCUCCAGGAAAAUAUUCUUGCAAAAUACAGAGUGGAUCCCACACGCAUCUGCAUUAUGGGAGACAGUUCUGGGGGUGCCUUGGCAGCAACAGUGACUCAACUGCUACAGAAUGAUCCAAGUUUUAAAGGCAGAAUUAAAGCACAAGCCUUGAUGUAUCCUGGACUUCAGCUGCUUGAUACUUUGCUACCUUCUCAUCAAGAGUAUCAACAUGGUCCAAUUCUGACCAGGGAGAUGAUAAUUAAGUUGGCAUGCCUAUAUGUGACUGAAGACAAAGUUCUACUCCAGGCUGCACUGAGAAAUGAGCAUAUGCCAACAGAGUCAAGACACCUGUUCAAGUUUGUUAACUGGAGUGACUUCCUUCCUGAGAAGUACAAAAAGAACUACGUUUAUACUGAACCAGUUCUUGGAAAAUUGAAUGCUUCCUAUCCAGUACUUGUGGAUAGCAGGUUGUGCCCUUUGCUAGUCAAUGACACCCAGUUACAGAGUUUGCCUUUAACAUACAUUGUCACUUGUGAACAUGAUCUCUUAAGAGAUGAUAGUCUUAUUUACGUUUCACGGCUUAGAAAUGUUGGAGUGAAAGUUACUCAUGAGCAUAUAGAGAAAGGAAUACAUGGAGCCCUAUCAUUCACCAAAGCUCCAGUAUUUUUAAAUUUAGGAUUAAAAAUAAGAGAUAAGUAUAUUAAUUGGUUAGAAGAAAAUUUAUAAGUCAAUAAAGCAUGUAGCUGGGUAAUCAAUAAAGAAAUGUGACAGUUAUAUUUUGAAAAAUUGUAUGACAAAUGGGCACAAAAUUAACUGACUUGUGGAUAAAGCUUCCUUUCAAAUUGGGUAAAGGUUACUGUAUAUGUAUAUUGAGAAAGUGACUUCACUUACUUGAUCUUAGAAAUACUGUUAAAGUGAGAAUACUUCAUUAUUCAUAUUAAUUUCUAUUUGUGGUGAAAAAUGUACUUUGAGUAGUUAAGAAUGUCAGAAGAAUUGAAAAAAACUGUUUGUUUACAUGCCAACCCUUUUUAGAUGUUUCAUGGCAGACAAAUUUGGAAUGUAUUACAUGAAGAAAACCAUUCCCAGUAAAAAUGGAAUGGAAUCAUGAGGACUGGAUGGGUUGGCACAUUACUCUCCAGGAGCCCAGUUGCAGAGAGGCAGUCAGGUAGACAGAUCUUUGUGAGUUUAAGACUAGGUUGAUUUAUGCAGCUAGUUCUAGGACAGCCAAAGCUGUUUAGUGACAUAUUAUUUUUAAAAAAGGAAUAAAAAGAGGAGUAAAGAAAAACAACCAUGAAUGAGGAGAAAAUGUGAUAGGUACAAUUGUAAUGGUAUUUGUAUGGCUUGAGUAUUAUAAUGUGCUGUGUUUUCCAACCAUGUGCUCUCUAUCCAUUAGCAUAAUCUGCUCUAGGUGAAUUAAGUUAUUUGUUUUCACUCACUCCUCAUAAAAUUUAUAUUCUGCUUUUUAUAGGAACACUUUGUAUUUUGCAGGAAGUUAACUUGAUCAUGAGUUGUUCCUAAAGAUUGAACAUUUAUGCCUUAAACUCUUAUAAGAUCAAACUGAUGGAAACCUAUGUAGAUUUUAUUUAUUGUGGAACAAUGCCUCUUAAUGCAUGAUGGUAUCUAACCAACUAUAAAUUGUAAGUAGAAAUAUUUAUAGUAUUCUUUUGAAUUUUUAAUGAAACAUUAUGUAUGCAGAGACUGUAUAUUCAGAGAGUUAUGUGAGUUGAUGAUCUCCAUACAUGUUUGCUUCCCUGUAAUGAUAGAACACAUAUUCCUUUAAGUACCAAUCAACUUGGAUGCUUUAAAAUCAAUACUAAUUCUCUUAUGUCCUGGU
Mus musculus (house mouse) is the source of this 3050-nucleotide RNA transcript. It is a transcript of the gene named predicted gene 9696, with no coding region annotated. Lineage: Eukaryota; Metazoa; Chordata; Mammalia; Rodentia; Muridae. The record is from RefSeq and is marked validated. The transcript has 5 exons.